GUGCUCACUGAUGACAAAAAGACGCGUUAUUCUGAGGAAACAAACUGCCACCAGUCCUCUCCUCCUCUAUCUUUCUCUCCUCUUCUGCUCCUCUUCCUCGCACUGGUUGGUGGUCCUCUGACUGUGAUUAUGAGAUCUGAGGGCAU
Syngnathus typhle (broad-nosed pipefish) is the source of this 146-nucleotide small nucleolar RNA. RefSeq annotates it as small nucleolar RNA SNORD97. Lineage: Eukaryota; Metazoa; Chordata; Actinopteri; Syngnathiformes; Syngnathidae. The record is from RefSeq and is a predicted model, not a curated record. The transcript has a single exon.